GUUGCCUACAGUUAGAUGCUCGGUUUCAUUUUCAACCAGGCGAAAGCAAAAGAAAGUGGAAAAAGUUGAGAAGGACCUGGAAUUCUUGAGGCCCUAGGUCCAGUUCCAGAAUCUAUAGACUACGGAGCACAGCUGGUCUCUUGGGGCCUUUCAGAAAUCUCCCAUCAAAUUUGCGGCAAGAGAAAUUGAGUGGAUGAUUUCUCCACAUUUCUUCAGAAGGAGGAGGGACUUCCAACAAUUUCUGAAAAACACACCUCCUCCCCUUUUUCACUGUUAUAGUGACCGAAGCACUUCCUGAUGUCUGCUCUUGGGAUCUGAAGAUGGAAGAGCCGGAAGCUGGGAGACUGCAGGCCACUGGAGAGAAGAUUAUACGAUGAAAUGCUGACUAGGAACCAAAUCACUGAGAAGAUUAUCUGCCUGAUCUGAAACCAGAAUGCUUGAAGAAACCACAGAUGCAUUCGUUCCACUGAAGUUGAGGCUUCCAAGGAAUUGCAUUUUUUUUUAAUUUCUUCCCUCAGGUUAAAUGAGCUUAAUUUCCCUAUCUUUAUUUUCAUUUGUAUACAGCUAAAUUUGUACAUCUGUGACUGGCUAUAUUAGCUGUUCAAGUGUAUCUGAGCAGGAACCAAUCCACCCCCCUCCCCAGAUCUCCAUAGCAACUUCAUCUGGCUGUUCCUCCUUGGUUACCAGUUUAAGAUAAUUAUUUAUGAAAUGAGCACUUUUUUUGUCUCUAGGGAAGAAUAUCUUAAAAAUCUAUUGCUCUGUAUUAUAAAACAAGCAGAUGACCCAA
Molecule: long non-coding RNA, 787 nt
Organism: Python bivittatus (Burmese python)
Lineage: Eukaryota; Metazoa; Chordata; Lepidosauria; Squamata; Pythonidae
Source: RefSeq, a predicted model, not a curated record